RNAcentral lists this unclassified non-coding RNA (394 nucleotides) under Hevea brasiliensis (rubber tree). The record is from RNAcentral. Lineage: Eukaryota; Viridiplantae; Streptophyta; Magnoliopsida; Malpighiales; Euphorbiaceae.
CUUGUUCCUGGGGGCACCAGCUUGCUAAAAAGCCUCUUUCUUUGGUCAUUGUCAUAAACUCCGGCGGAAGAACCGCGGUGGCGCCGGAAACAAGGUUAGGCCUAAUGACCCACAAAAAAUUUUUGUUGCUAUUAGCAAGUCCCCAAGCAAUCUCUACCAAUUUUUCUCUUGACAAUCGCGCUUCCAAAAUUCAUGUAAAUAACCGAGUUGGGUUCUUUUGAGUCGAGCCAGUCGAGACAUCCAGAUUCUUCUUUCCAUAAGUUUGAUCCAAUGGACUUUAGCCCACUAUCUUUCACCUUAUUGAGGAGAAGUUGAAGGGAGCCGAUGGAGUAUACAUGAGGCAAUUUUGGUAAUGAAGAAAGUGCAGCUAAAACCUCAUGCUCCAACGCAUCAA